UACAGAGGAUGCAAGUGUUAUUCGGAAUUAUUGGGCGUAAAGCGUCUGUAGGCGGGUAAUUUAGUCUUUUGUUAAAUUUUUGGGCUUAACCUGAAAGCUGCAAAAGAAACUGAUUGUCUUGAGUUUGGCAGAGGUAAAGGGAAUUUCCAGUGGAGCGGUGAAAUGCGUAGAUAUUGGAAAGAACACCGAAGGCGAAGGCACUUUACUGGACCAAUACUGACGCUGAGAGACGAAAGCUAGGGGAGCAAACGGG
Molecule: ribosomal RNA, 253 nt
Filed under: uncultured bacterium
Lineage: Bacteria
Description: partial 16S ribosomal RNA
Rfam family: Bacterial small subunit ribosomal RNA
Source: RNAcentral